AUGAUGACCGAUCUGGCGGUGGCGCCGCAGAUCACCCUCUGGUCCAUGGCCUCGACGGCGACGACGUAUCCCGCGCCCGCGUUCUUCCUCCCCCAUCUCAUCUCCUCUCCGGUCGCUGCAGAGGAGCUCCGUUUCGCGCCGCCACCAUGGUUGCCUGCAGCGAGCAGCAGAGGACCUAGCCGCCGCGUCCGACCGCAACCGCCGCCUGAAACCCUAGCCCCUCCUUCCAACUGCAGGUCAAGCCAGCAGGAUCCCCUCCAAGAAGAGCAUUUGAUGCGUGAGUGCAUCCCCUUCUCUUCUUGUUCUUCUUCUUCUUCUCGAUUUGAUGUGUGCGUGCGUGCUGUUCUGUGCAGGCCCGACUCGUCUCUGCUUGUUCACAACAAGGAAGGCCAUGGACCGCGGACCUGCUCGACCUGCUCGACCUCCUCCUCACGCCGCCUCGGCCUCCCGGCCCUUGUCGCCGUUGGUCGCCCUCCACGGGAGGGAUCCCAAUUACUGACUGCAUCAGGCGACCAAUCUGUAAAGAUAUGGAGCGUGGAGAAUAAGAAAUGCCUUGGUGUGCUGUCAGGGCACACUAGAAGUGUGAAGUCACUGACAUGCCAUUCUUCAAAUCCUGAUCUUAUUAUUUCUGGUUCAAGAGACGGUUCUUUUGCACUUUGGGAUCUAAGAUGUGACCCCCAAACCCCAAAUGGUCAUGGAUCUGGGGUGAAGGUCAUGUCAUCUCUUCUCGUGGCUCUACUGCCCACUGCUUCCACUGCUGAUAUUUUGAGCUCUUUGAUCAGAGCAAGCACCAUGGGAAGAAACUUCCAAUUAUUUACAAUGAGUACGGGACACAAACCGAUGUGCUUGGACUACCUAGCUCGACCUCUAUCUCAAUGUCAGAAAAUUAGGAACCAGAAGGGAAAAUGGAAGGCGCCUUUGAUGGACAUUCAGCCCGGUUGGCACAUCUAUAACUCAUUCCACGUCCCUCUUGCACGGCGACGGCACAGAUGUAGGGCAGCGGUGGCGGGUGCAUAUGUAGGGAAGCAGCAGCAGUGCGGUGGUGGCGGGUACAGGCGCAGCGCGACGACCUGUGGGCGCACCGGCUCUAGGAUGACCAGGGGCUUGGUAGCUGGGUCCGAUAUCCCUGUGGUGGACAGAGAUGAUGGCGUAUGGAAGUGGCCGGUGGUGGGCAGGGAACAAUGUGGCCCCGUCGUCGUCCUCUUCGUUCAGCUUGACAUGACCGUCGUUCAGCUGAAGACAAUAUUACAUGGGGACGAUUAA
RNAcentral lists this ribosomal RNA (1263 nucleotides) under Triticum aestivum (bread wheat). RNAcentral describes it as "partial small subunit ribosomal RNA". The record is from RNAcentral. Lineage: Eukaryota; Viridiplantae; Streptophyta; Magnoliopsida; Poales; Poaceae.